AUUGAACGCUGGCGGCAGGCCUAACACAUGCCAGUCGAGCGGAUGAAGGGAGCUUGCUCCUGGAUUCAGCGGCGGACGGGUGAGUAAUGCCUAGGAAUCUGCCUGGUAGUGGGGGAUAACGUCCGGAAACGGGCGCUAAUACCGCAUACGUCCUGAGGGAGAAAGUGGGGGAUCUUCGGACCUCACGCUAUCAGAUGAGCCUAGGUCGGAUUAGCUAGUUGGUGGGGUAAAGGCCUACCAAGGCGACGAUCCGUAACUGGUCUGAGAGGAUGAUCAGUCACACUGGAACUGAGACACGGUCCAGACUCCUACGGGAGGCAGCAGUGGGGAAUAUUGGACAAUGGGCGAAAGCCUGAUCCAGUCAUGCCGCGUGUGUGAAGAAGGUCUUCGGAUUGUAAAGCACUUUAAGUUGGGAGGAAGGGCAGUAAGUUAAUACCUUGCUGUUUUGACGUUACCAACAGAAUAAGCACCGGCUAACUUCGUG
Molecule: ribosomal RNA, 484 nt
Filed under: uncultured bacterium
Lineage: Bacteria
Description: partial 16S ribosomal RNA
Rfam family: Bacterial small subunit ribosomal RNA
Source: RNAcentral